CAGCAGCAGCCGCGGUAAUACGUAGGUGGCAAGCGUUGUCCGGAAUUAUUGGGCGUAAAGGGCUCGCAGGCGGUCUCUUAAGUCUGAUGUGAAAGCCCCCGGCUCAACCGGGGAGGGUCAUUGGAAACUGGGAAACUUGAGUGCAGAAGAGGAGAGUGGAAUUCCACGUGUAGCGGUGAAAUGCGUAGAGAUGUGGAGGAACACCAGUGGCGAAGGCGACUCUCUGGUCUGUAACUGACGCUGAGGAGCGAAAGCGUGGGGAGCGAACAGGAUUAGAUACCCCUGUAGUCCCUGUCUCUUAUAC
Molecule: ribosomal RNA, 304 nt
Filed under: uncultured bacterium
Lineage: Bacteria
Description: partial 16S ribosomal RNA
Rfam family: Bacterial small subunit ribosomal RNA
Source: RNAcentral